Molecule: ribosomal RNA, 617 nt
Filed under: uncultured bacterium
Lineage: Bacteria
Description: bacterial SSU rRNA
Rfam family: Bacterial small subunit ribosomal RNA
Source: RNAcentral
GAACGCUGGGCGGCGUGCCUUACACAUGCAAGUCGAGCGAGGCGGCCCGCAAGGGGUCAGUCGAGCGGCGAACGGGUGAGUAACGCGUGGAUAACCUGCCCAGAGGUGGGGGAUAACCCGGGGAAACUCGGGCUAAUACCGCAUGAUACCGAAAGGUCAAAGGGGGCUCGCAAGGGCUCUCGCCAUAGGAGGGGUCCGCGUCCGAUUAGCUAGUUGGUAGGGUAAUGGCCUACCAAGGCGACGAUCGGUAGCCGGCCUGAGAGGGUGAUCGGCCACACUGGAACUGAGACACGGUCCAGACUCCUACGGGAGGCAGCAGUGGGGAAUUUUGCGCAAUGGGCUAACGCCUGACGCAGCAACGCCGCGUGGAGGAUGAAGGUCUUUGGAUUGUAAACUCCUGUCAGCAGGGAAAAAGCGAAUCGGCCUAACACGCCGGUGAGUUGAUUGUACCUGCAGAGGAAGCCCCGGCUAACUCUGUGCCAGCAGCCGCGGUAAUACAGAGGGGGCAAGCGUUAUUCGGAAUUAUUGGGCGUAAAGGGCGCGUAGGCGGCUUCGCAAGUGGAUGGUGAAAUCCCUCGGCUUAACCGAGGAAUUGCCAUCCAAACUGCGUUGCUUGA